Molecule: small nuclear RNA, 132 nt
Organism: Mya arenaria
Lineage: Eukaryota; Metazoa; Mollusca; Bivalvia; Myida; Myidae
Product: U4atac minor spliceosomal RNA
Exons: 1
Source: RefSeq, a predicted model, not a curated record
ACCGUCCUUAUCUUGGGUUGCGAGCUUGUCCAAGGAUCGUCUAGUGAGGGCAAGACUGCUGACAACACAAACAAGAUUGAAAUAACGCAUCGCUCGACCGCAAGGGAAGGUAUGGAUGCAAUUUCUGGAGCC